This 483-nucleotide ribosomal RNA is filed under the name uncultured bacterium. RNAcentral's name for it is "partial 16S ribosomal RNA". It matches the Rfam family "Bacterial small subunit ribosomal RNA", at positions 30 to 506 of the family's 1533-position model. The record is from RNAcentral.
AUUGAACGCUGGCGGCAGGCCUAACACAUGCAAGUCGAGCGGAUGAAGGGAGCUUGCUCCUGGAUUCAGCGGCGGACGGGUGAGUAAUGCCUAGGAAUCUGCCUGGUAGUGGGGGAUAACGUCCGGAAACGGGCGCUAAUACCGCAUACGUCCUGAGGGAGAAAGUGGGGGAUCUUCGGACCUCACGCUAUCAGAUGAGCCUAGGUCGGAUUAGCUAGUUGGUGGGGUAAAGGCCUACCAAGGCGACGAUCCGUAACUGGUCUGAGAGGAUGAUCAGUCACACUGGAACUGAGACACGGUCCAGACUCCUACGGGAGGCAGCAGUGGGGAAUAUUGGACAAUGGGCGAAAGCCUGAUCCAGCCAUGCCGCGUGUGUGAAGAAGGUCUUCGGAUUGUAAAGCACUUUAAGUUGGGAGGAAGGGCAGUAAGUUAAUACCUUGCUGUUUUGACGUUAUCAACAGAAUAAGCACCGGCUAACUUCGU